AUGUUCGGUUAAGUCCGCUAACGAGCGCAACCCUCGCUGUGUGUUACAAGUGUCACACGGAACUGCCGGUCAUAAACCGGAGGAAGGUGGGGAUGACGUCAAGUCAGCAUGGCCUUUAUAUCCUGGGCUACACACACGCUACAAUGGGAAGGGACAAUAGGUUGCGAAGCCGCGAGGCGGAGCCAAUCCAGCAAAACUUCCCUCAGUUCAGAUUGCAGGCUGCAACUCGCCUGCAUGAAGUUGGAGUUGCUAGUAAACGCAGGUCAGCCAUACUGCGUUGAAUACGUUCCCGGGGCUU
Molecule: ribosomal RNA, 298 nt
Filed under: uncultured Levilinea sp.
Lineage: Bacteria; Bacillati; Chloroflexota; Anaerolineae; Anaerolineales; Anaerolineaceae
Description: partial 16S ribosomal RNA
Rfam family: Bacterial small subunit ribosomal RNA
Source: RNAcentral